This 6665-nucleotide long non-coding RNA is filed under the name Medicago truncatula (barrel medic). Its description in RNAcentral is "long non-coding RNA (MTRU_LNC005522)". The record is from RNAcentral. Lineage: Eukaryota; Viridiplantae; Streptophyta; Magnoliopsida; Fabales; Fabaceae.
CUUUCGGUCUUACUUGUUAUUCUCAUUGACUACAACCUUGUUGUCUGUCUGACCCAAUAAGCUGAUCAUAGAACGGGCUUUAACCAUUCCAAGCUUCAUUCUCUUCUUUGCAAUUACCACUGGCUUCUUCUCAUCAUCAUUACCCAAGGUAUCGUCAUUCUCAUCAAUGAUUUUCUUUUCAAGAUCAGAAUUAGAAGAUGAAGCACUAUCAACAGCAUUGUUUGGUUCAGUAGUAGUAGUAGAAAAUCCAAUAUUAGAUCUAUUUCUAACACUUGUCAUACUUCUCAAUCUUCCUUUCCCUAAAUGAUGCUCACAAAGUGAAUAACCAACAAGUGUUUGUUGACAACAUCUCCAUCCUCUUCCAUUAACACGACUGCACCUUGAACCUUCCAUCACUGCACUUCCCCUUUUUGUCACCUUCUUCUUAAUAUUCACUUUUGUUUCGCUUUCUUCAUCAUCUUUCCCCAAAGAACACUUCUUAUUCAUCUUGGUGUUCAUCUUAGCCUUCACUUUCUUACUAUCAUUACCCUCCAUACCAUUAUUCUGGAACCUUCCUUUCCUUUUCUUUAACGGAAUGGUUUUCUCUCCCUCCAACCAUAUCUCAUCUACAUACAUAUAUGAGAACUAACUAUAAUUAAACCAUGCUCACAAAGCAAUAUAUAUAUAUAUACACACACACACACACACACACACAUAGAAUAACAAAUUAAUUAGUAGUAGUAAUUUUUGUUACCUUCAGAAAAAGUGCUUGAUGAUGGCAAGGCUUGAGAAACAACCAAGAUAUCUCCCUUGCUAAGAACCAAGUACACCCAGAAAGACAAAAAAACCACAUACAUGAAAUUUAGAGCAUAUAAGGGAAUAUUAUUGAGUGAUAUGAAGAUAAUAAAUAUGAGUGUAACAUUAUUGUUGAGGAACAAAGUGCAAUAUAUAGAUGGGGACCAGUUAUAACUAGUAGUGCACCUCAAGUGCAAAAUGGUAGCUACCUAUUUUAGAGAAAAGAAGGAUGGGCUUAAUUUGGUUAUAUAUUAUAUAAAUAUAUAUACAAAAAUUCUUCUUAUUUAAAACACCUUCAACAGUAUUUUCCAAUGGUAUAAUUUUAAAUAAAAAAGCACAAUUUUCUUUUUGGAAGCUGGUUAAAAAUUAGAACUUUUUUACUAUAUCAUGAAAGAAUAAGAUAGAAAAAAGGUUAGAGAUUCAUUCCAUUUCUCACCUGGUAUGAUUACUUUUGUUACCUCCUGAGUCAUCACUCUCUUUCUCUUCCCCUCUAACUUUCUUAUCCUGCACAAUCAAAUCAACCAUACCAAAAUACAUGGUUUUAAUGUAGGAACCCUUUCUGGGUGUAAAAUAAUUUUCUUUAUUUUUUGAGAAAAAAUUAAUUAAAUUUGACACCAAGGGGUAACCACUUGCAAAAGAUUGGACAAAAGUGCAAUUGUAAAAACCCAAAUCAUGAAAUCUAAAAAAUAAAAAAAAUAAAAAAGAAAACAGAAAUAAUAAACAAAAGAUGUUUUUUUCAAAUCAAAAUGGUUUUUUUUUUAUUGCUUACCAAAGGAUCUAGCUUGUUGUGCUGUUUGUGUACCCCACUUUCCUCAACACUAGAUGGAUAAUCAUAGCCGUUGUUUAGUUUCCCGAUCAGUGGGAGUGUUUGAUCAGACGGCUGAUAACGAUCCAAGCUCAAACCAGCUGAAACAUGUUCUUGUGAUUGUGAAGAACAAGGUUUUGGUCCAUCACCUUGUUGCACCACCACCGGUGACUGGUUAAUCAGGUGGGGAUCUGAGAGAUGCAAAGGUGAAAGAGAGUCAGAAGAAGAGAAAAGAAGUUGUCUCUUACGGAUCCUCAUCGGUGCAAGAUUGAAGAAAAAACUUGUACACACAAACUCACGAGAUUCACUCUCUCAAAAUAAAUAAUAAAAGACUUUGUUUAGAAAAGAAAGGAUCUUUUGGUUUUGAGAUUGUAAGAGAGAAAAAAACAAGAUUGAAAAUUAUUAGAUUAGAUUAGAUGAGUAAACCCAUCUAGUCUACUACAUGGGAAGGACCAAGAAAAAAAGUUAUAUAUGCUUUUAUCUUAGUAUUUUUGUGUGUGUCUAUAUAUUGGUUCCACACGAGUUACUUUCUCUCUCUAACUUUUUUAUUAGUUGCACCACAGAAAGGAAGGAGUUGUAUGGGUGAGAGAUGGCACGUGUGAAGAGUUUUUUGGAUGAAGAAGCACGUGUAAGAGUAGGAACUUGGAGAGACGGUAACCGGUGGAAGAGAGAGAGACAGACAGAAAGUGACAGAGUACGACGAAUUGGGAGGAUGUGGAAGAAAGCGUUAUAUUACAAAAUUAAAGCAAGCUAGUAAUACUAUUAAUUAAUUUUAUAUUUAAGAUAAAAAUAAAAAAUAAAAAAUAAAAGAAGAAAAUUAAGUCCUUGAAAAGGACACGCCUAAAAUAUCGCCUAGUAAAGUAUGUGGUAAACACGAAAGAGACUCGUCAAACGUGAUAAGAUGGUCUGAACUUUUAGCUCCCAAUUUAGCAAGGACAUAAGUGCAAAUAAAUCAAUUAUUAGCAAGAUAAUUAUGGAUAAGUUCCAAGAGAUUUACAUAAUGAUGAAACUUCGAGAUGUCCUUCAUCACUAACUGUACCACAUGAAGAGAGUCGGAGAAACAUGCGAGCUUUCUAUAACCUCCUUCCGAACAUAACUUUAUACCAAUCAACAACACUUAAAUCCCACCAUGCUACCAAAGAAACCAUGAAGAAAGCUUCCAUCGUGUUUAAAUAUUAACCCAACAUAGCCCGCCUUUCCUAGAUUGUUCAGAGCACUUCUAUAGUCAAUUAAGGUUUGAUAAGUGGUUAAAAACUCAUUCGUAUGAUUUUAAGUUCAAUUCUCAUCACGGACAUUUUUUAUAAAUGAUCUAUAGUUUUUUUGUUGUUGUUCGUUCUUUCAUAUCUUAUAUAUUUCACUCCUAUAAACUUUGAUGUUCAAUUAAUUUCAACUUUUCAUAAACUAAUAAAAGUAACAUACAAAAAAAAAAACUAAUAAAAGUAAAAACUAUAAGCGAAGAGAGACGGUAUAUACCUUAACAUGAUGGGGAUUUGUGGGUCCCGCAACAUCGACUCUUAUACCAACAUUAACACCUUAAUUCAGCUCUCACCCACAAGUUGACCUUUCCAACUUGUAGUAUUCUUCAUGUAAUAACCCGGUUACCGCUAACCCUCGGUUCCAUAAUUAUAAAUUACCUCUGCAAAAAAUUAUCUUUCUUAAAUACUCCGUAAACUUCUAUGCAUUUUUUUAAGGAGAGUUAAGUAAAGCGAAUUUUUAUUUUCUAAAGGAGAAAAUUUAGGUACAAUUUCUUAGGUAUUUUUCGUAUGAUUCUUAAUUAAAAAUAUAUAUUUUUUGGAUAUAACAAACUUUGAGAAAAUUAUAAAUUUGAGGAAAUCAUGGUGAAUUUAGUUAAAAACCAUACGAAAAGUACCUAAGAAAUUGUAUCUAAAUUUUCUACUUUUCUAAAAACAUCAUCAAGAAAUCGUGAUAGUCUUGUUAAAAAAUAUUAUUUUCUAAAAACAAUGUCAUCCAGAAAUCAUGAUAGUUUCUUUCGGAAUAUUCAGCAUAUCCUUUUUUAUUUGGGAUGUUCUAUGACAUUUGUUAAGGAUUUAAAGAGAAAAUAAUUGAUUAAUUUCAUGUAAAAUAAAUGUUAUAUUUUUAAAUUUUAAUGUGUUAAAUAUAUUAUUACCAAUAUAAAAUUUACACUUUAAACUUUAUAAUAAGUGAUAGGACACUUGUUAACUUUUCUCUUUUUAUUUAACUAGUUUUAUCCAACAUAUCAUGUACAUUUGUUUUUAAAUAUACUUCUUAUUAAUUUAUUUUGAAAGAUAAAAAAUUUAAGUAAAAAAAAAGAGCUUCCUUCAAAAAAAAAAAAAGUAAAAAAAAGAGCUAGACAUUUAAGAUUUUAGAAAUUUACACAAAAUCGACAUAUUAAAUUUAUUAUCAAUUUUUCUUAAUAUAUGUAAAAAAAAAAAAAAUAGUGCUUAUAAAUUACUACCAGAGGACACAUUUAAUAUUACAAUAGGCUUAAAUAAUAUCAUGUGAAAUUUCCCACAAAGCCGUCACUACUUACACCAUUACAUGUGUCUUUUCAGCCAAAUCCGAAAUUAAUGUGAUCAAAACGGUUUUGUCAUUUCCCUUUUAAACUAAUAAAACGCUUCAUCCGAUUUUACGAUAAAAGGUUUUGCUACGAUAGUAAAGCCAUCACGACUCACACCACUACCCGUGCUUUUUCCACUAAAUCCAAAAUUAAAAUGAUCGAAACGGAACCCACUUGAAUUGGCAUAGUGAUAUAGGUUUGGGAUCUGGAAGUGUGAUCCUCCUCAAGGUCUCACAUUUGAUUCUCUCUAGUGCUAAUUUGAAGGGGUUAGUUUAGCUUUUUAAAAAAAAAAAAAAAUGAUCGAAAUGGUUUUUCCAUUUCCCUUUUGAAUUUUAAAAAAACAAGAAAACAUUUCACAUUAAAAAGUUUCGCUAUAUAUAGCAUUCCUCUUAAUAUUAUUAUGGCAAGUUUCUCAAAAUUUCUUUUUUCAUUAUAACAAACUUAUUUCAAUUGCAAGAAUAAUAAUGUUUGUAAUACAAUUUUGAAUGACAUAAAAUUAUUUAGAAUUGGCGUAAAGCCUCCUUGACGCUCUUGAAAGCUUGUGAACAAAAAGGUUUGUUUGCCUCCCUUAAAGUAUGUGCAAACAUGGUUGUUUUGAACAGUAAUCCUUUGGUCUUUUUUUGUUACAAAAUUUUAGGGUGAGGGGAUGGUGCCCCAGUCCAAGGCAGGGAAGACCUUCGGGCUCAAAGAGCACUUACAAAGGUAAUUACAUUUACCUCCCUCCAAAGACACUAGCGGGGCUCCAUUUUGUCUUUCAUUAUAUGCAACUUUAAAUAGAGAUAAUUGUACCGAAAUAUUACUAUUAUCGUCCUUAUAAUAUAGGACUCGUUGAUUAAAUAAUGAUAAUUAAGAAAGUUGACAGUAAUAUUAAUUUCACGUUAAAAAAUGCAAGAUGAAGUGCCAAACUCUUUUUAAAAUGGCACAUUAAAAAAUGAGAUAAAGUUUCGUCAAGACUACCACCAUUAGCGCACAAACGCAAUUUAUGAUAAAUAAUGUCACGCCUAAACAAACUAUCCUUUGUUGGAAGACGAUUAUGCAAAAAUCGUCAAGCAAAAAGAGACACCUUCGUCAGAACUGGAUUAUUCCAAAUAAUAUCAAGAAUUUGCGGACAACCCAAAACAGAAUCCUUCCUUUGAGAAAGAAGUUUGCUGGCCACUUUGACUGUAAAUUCGUCAUUAAGAUCAUCCCCCAAGAGCACUUGGAAAUAUAGACCGCAAAGAAAAUUAUCUAAUGAUAAAAUGCAUUCAUGCAACAAAUCUUUUCCUAAGCAAAUAAAGGUUUCCUCCCAUGUCGAUCAGUCCCAUCAACAAACCCCUCGUCGAAUGGAUUGUAAAUCAUGCCACAAAGCCAAAGCCUUAAUUACCGCCACCAUCACGAAUAACUCCCUUCAUUGUCUCAUACUUACGAGCUAGCACCUUUAACCACAAACCAUCCUCGUCUGACCUCGACCUCCAACACCACUUUCCUAAUAAAGCUAAAUUAAAUUCCUUAACAUGCCUUACACCAAGACCUCCUUUGUCCUUAUCAAAGCAAAUUUUAUCCCAGUGAAUCCAAUGCACUUAUCGGCCUCACAAUCACCCCCACCCCUCCUCUAUAAAAAAAAUAUUUAAAGAGAAAUUCGAUUAAGGAAAUAAUACAUAAAGGAGCCUUGAAGAAAGAAAGAAAAUAAAUCGAGAGAGGAGACAAUGACUUAAGGAGAACAAGACGACUAUCCAUCGAUAGGUUACAACAUUUCCAACCAAAUAAACAACUGUUUAUUCUAUCAACCAAGAUUUUUCAAAAGGAUAAUCGUCGAGGGUUACCUCCAAUCGAUAAAGAAAUAAUUAAAACAAUUAUAAAUUCAAAAGAUUCUUAUAAAAAUGACAAGAAAAUUUCUCAAAUGGUCUUGUCAUAUAUUUAGUGAUGGAAGUAGUAUAAUAUUUAUUUUAAAUUAUUGGAUGUAUUUAAACCAAAUAAACCUCGAAUUAAUUAAUAUGAAAAAAAUAAAAUUAAACACAUAUAUAAGUCAAUAGUACUUAGAGGUCUUAGGUUCAAUAUUACAUAUUUAUAUCACAUAACACCGUACGAAAAUAAAGCACAAGCUUAAGUUGAAUAGAGAGGACAUUAGCAGUGACAAUACUUCCUUCCUUAAAAAUAAAAAAAAUAAAAAAAUAAAAAAACAGUGACAAUACUAGCACCAAAAUAAUAGAAAUUCUUAAAAACUCUUCAAAUUAAACUUCAAAUACAUGUAAUAAUAAUUUUGUUGUACUCUUUCGGUCUUACUUGUUAUUCUCAUUGACUACAACCUUGUUGUCUGUCUGUCCCAAUAAGCUGCUCAUAGAUCGGGCUUUAACCAUUCCAAGCUUCAUUCUCUUCUUUGCAAUUACCACUGGCUUCUUCUCAUCAUCAUUACCCAAGGUAUCGUCAUUCUCAUCAAUGAUUUUCUUUUCAAGAUCAGAAUUAGAAGAUGAAGCACUAUCAACAGCAUUGUUUGGUUCAGUAGUAGUAGUAGAAAAUCCAAUAUUAGAUCUAUUUCUAACACUUGUCAUACUUCUCAAUCUUCCUUUC